GGAGAGGGGCGGGGCUAGCGGCGAGGGCAGGGGCGGGGCCGAACGCGAGCUCCCCUGGGCCGGCCAGGCAGGUCGGGCCCCGCCUCGGCUCGGGCCCCGCCCGCGCUCCCCCGAGUGCGCGGGUUGGGGGGCGGGGGAGCCCAGGAGCGGCGCGGCUCCGCCACCGGCUGACGCACCGUCGGAAAGUUGCGCUCCGACCUUCUCCCACCUCGUACUUUCUUACCGGGGCGCCGCUGUAGACUUGGAGCUGGGUGGGGAGGACCCGGGCCGAGGCGUGAGAGCGGCCGCCGGCCGGGGCGCAGAGCGGACUGUCCCGGUCCCGGCGAGGAGUCCGCUCCCCCUUCCUCGCGGUGCCCAGCGCGGUGGUGGCACAAACUUUCUGGACUGUCCCCGGACAGCCCUGGCGAGUCCCGCAGCGGGCCGGGAGGAGGAGCCGCGGCCGCUGACAGAUUUUGGAAGUCUUCUUCUGGAAGUUGCGAGCAGUGCCAAGUGUUGGAGAAAUCUUUUCUGCCCCUCUGAUAGAGUGAAGUGAGCAAACACAACCUAGCAGAAGGCUCGUGAAGAGAGCGCUCACAGGUAAUGUCGUCUUUUCUUAUUACUAUUGAGAUGUGUUCAGUAAUGUUCAGUAAUAAACUUAAAAAAAAGUAAGCCUACUUGAAUUUACACAUCCAAGUGUUGACAGAAGAAAAAUGCACAACCUGGAAGUUUCGAGUUAAGUUUUAUUCAGGGACCUUACUGAGGACUAUAGGCCAGGAGACAGCCUCUCAGAUACCUCUGAGGAGCUGCUCCAGAGAGUUUAGGGAGGAGCCAGGAUGCAUAGGCGUAUUGGGCUGGAACAAACAUGUAGUUGAACAUCAAAAGAUAACUGCUAAUCACAAAAACAGACAUUGCAAGUUAAUGAUUUUAAUGCUUUUCUAUGUAUGGGGAGAGGUAAGAAUCUGGGCUGAAUGAAAUUAUUCCUUAGAUAUGCAUCUUAACUAUCUAGGGCCAGUAUCCAAAGCACAGAAUGCUUCCUGUUUUUCUCUAUCCUGAGUUCCCCUCAGGGCGUACCACCAGUGGUGGUGGGGUGGGAUGCUGCACCGGCUGAUGGCUUGGUCCUUGUUUACUAGAAUGGCAGCAACAUUCUUUGUUUACUGGAAUGGCAGGCAACAUUGCCUGUCCACAGAGGUGAACAUUAUCUUGUUCAAAGCAGUGUUUCUGAGAGGCUACACUCUCUCCUCUUCUCAAAACAUUUAAACAUUUUUUCUUUGGGAACUGCAUCUUGAUCCUCUGGUAGCAUGCUUUUAAACAUCCUAUUUUCUUUCUUUAAAAAAAAAAAUUAAUUUUUGGCUGUGUUGGGUCUUCGUUGCCGCACACGGGCUUUCUCUAGUUGCGGCGAGUGGGGACUACUCUUCGUUGUGGUGCACGGGCUUCUCAUUGCGGUGGCUUCUUUUGUUGUGGAGCAGGGGCUCUAGGCAUGCGGGCUCAGUAGUUGUGGCUCGCGGGCUCUAGAGCGCAGGCUCAGUAGUUGUGGCGCAUGGGCUUAGUUGCCCCGCGGCAUGUGGGAUCUUCCCGGACCAGGGCUCGAACCCGUGUCUGCUGCAUUGGCAGGUGGAUUCUUAACCAGCUGUGCCACCAGGGAAGUCCCUAUUUUCUUUCUUUUUAAACUACAUUGGAAUAUAGCCGAUUAACAAUGUUGUGAUAGUUUCAGGUGCACAGCAAAGCGACUUGGCCAUACAUAAACAUGUAUCUAAACAUCCUAUUUUCUGUGGUGGCAAAUCUCAACCCUGUGAGGGUGUAUUUGGGAAGUAAUCUAAAUGUCUUCAGAGCUACGGAAUCUGGGGAGUUCUAAUUUUGAUCAGGAGCAAUAACGUAAUGAAACCAGUUUCUCUUUUUAUAAUUGUAUAUGUGUUUGAAGGCUUAUACACUGUAUUGAAAGUUAAUUCUCGAAAGAGGUGACUCUAAGUUUCAAGCAAUGGUAGUCUUGUUAAAAUAAGUGAUUAGACUUGUAGUUUACAGAGAAGCAUAUGCUAUUUAUUUGUAUGUAAAUGUUGGUAUUCUUUCUUAUUAAAAUUGAUCAAUCAGUCUAUCUGUCAGUAUUGUAGAAAGGAUUCCUGUGUUUAUCAGGUUGAAUAAGAUGAGAUUUAACUUCCUCAUAAGGUAUACCUCUAAGGCACUGUAAUUAGCAUCUUAUUAGAGGUGCGUUUUGCAUUGUUUCUCAAAGCCUUGUUACAGUGCUUGUUAAAAAGCACAUUGAAAAUACAAAUUAGUAGGCCACCAUCUAGUGUAUCAGAAUCUGAAUCAGAGUGCUAGGGGGAAGGGUUUGGGAAUCUGCGUUUUACAAGUAAAUACCACCCAAGGUUGACACCCCCAAUGCAAUAAAAGCAUACUUGUACUUAAUCUUUGUAUUUUUGGUUUUAAAGGUGUUGUAAUCACCUUAAUUUUUGCUUUGAAUAAAACAGUGCCAGUAUUUUUAGUAUACUGUUGUGACACAGGGUUAUGUUCUCAAAUAGCUUAUUAUUAGAUCAAAUUAAGAAUGUAACUGAAUAAAGCUAUACUUUGAACUUUAUGUCUAAAUUCAAAAUGGAUACAUUUUUCAUUGGAUGCAAUUAGAUAAAUCUGUUUUUUAACCUCUAGAUGCUGAAUACUAAGUUUUUUGAAAUAUUUUUAUGAAAUAUCUUCUUAAUUUGCCAGUAAGUCGUACGUCAGAUAUCUUAUUCAGAUGGAGGGUAAAGAGUAACGGGGUAGUGUCGUGGUCCGAACGCGGGUUGGAAAAGAAUUUCCAGACACAAGGCAGAAUGUAAAGAAGAUAGAAUUUAUUAGAGAGAAGGGUCACUGCCAGAUCAGCGGGCUGACUUCCUAGUGGUCUGGGAGAGUCGAGCCCAAACAUGUGCUAUUGAUCAGUUUUUAUAGCCAGAAAAUAAAAGAAUGGUCCAAGGUGAAAAUUUCGUUUACUGAUUGGUUGAGGCACAUAUACCUUCCUUCUAUAGGGUGG
RNAcentral lists this long non-coding RNA (2974 nucleotides) under Delphinapterus leucas (beluga whale). Its description in RNAcentral is "lncRNA (ENSDLEG00000015305.1)". Lineage: Eukaryota; Metazoa; Chordata; Mammalia; Artiodactyla; Monodontidae. The record is from RNAcentral.